AAAGAAGAAAAGAAACAGAAAAGCUAGAAAAGAAGCAGGGAAAGAGACGAAAACAGGGGAAGAUAAGGGGAAAGAAAAAUAAAAGGGAAAACUGAGGAUUUAAAGCUUCAAGUUAAUUGCUAACAAGGAAAACGAGGCAUCGGCAUCUAAAGGAAAAGAAAAGAUCGUUGAGGAGUAAACGCGUAUUCCGGUGAAAUGUCUAGUUCUGAAGCAGCUUGUGAAAUGAUGCAAAAGUUGAAGGAAUCUUUGUAUGAAUUGUUUGAUGAGUAUAAGCCUCCACUUCAUGGUACUUGUAGCCAAUCGAGUGUGUCAACACAUGUUUCUAUUGGUGAACCACAACAAAAAAUGAAAAGGCGAAUGCAAGCUUUGUAUAAAAAGCGUGAGUUGGAAAUUUGUGGUGAGGAUAAAACAUCUGAGUUGGAUAAAUAUCUAGCUGAGGCUAAUGAAGAAUUUGUUGAAGAUUUUGAUAUUUUAUUGUGGUGGAAAGUGAACAGCCCUAGAUUUCCCACUCUUUCAAAAAUUGCCAGAGAUGUGUUAGCUAUACCGGUUUCUACGGUUGUUUGAGUCUGCAUUUAGUACCGGAGGACGUGUGCUUGAUCAAUAUAGGAGUUCUUUAACUCCUAAAAUUGUACAAGCUCUUGUGUAUACUCAAGAUUGGAUUCGAAGAUCAUCAUCACAAGAAGACAUAAAAAAGAUUGAAGAACAAAUCCAAGAGCUUGACAAGAUUGAAAAUGGUUUAAUGCAAAUGGAGAUAUUUUGGAGAGAUGAAAUGGAUAUAUUUUGGAAAGAUGAAAUGGAUAUAAAUGGAGAAUGUUAAAAACAUACAUUUCAAUUAUGUGUUAAUUCAAGACUUAUGUAAUAUUUUUAAUUAUGUAGUGAUUCAAAUACUUAUGUAAUAUUUUUAAUUAUGUAGUGAUUCAAAUAUUUAUGUAAUGUUUUUAAUUAUGUAGUGAUUUAAUUC
Long non-coding RNA from Gossypium raimondii (Peruvian cotton), 961 nucleotides. RefSeq lists it as uncharacterized. Lineage: Eukaryota; Viridiplantae; Streptophyta; Magnoliopsida; Malvales; Malvaceae. The transcript has 4 exons. The record is from RefSeq and is a predicted model, not a curated record.